GUAGAUUUAGUUUAACCAAGACAUUAGAUUGUGAUUCUAAAAAUAGAGGUUGAACCCCCCUAAUCCACC
Molecule: transfer RNA, 69 nt
Filed under: Gadus chalcogrammus (walleye pollock)
Lineage: Eukaryota; Metazoa; Chordata; Actinopteri; Gadiformes; Gadidae
Description: tRNA-His
Rfam family: tRNA
About the family: Transfer RNA (tRNA) molecules are approximately 80 nucleotides in length. Their secondary structure includes four short double-helical elements and three loops (D, anti-codon, and T loops). Further hydrogen bonds mediate the characteristic L-shaped molecular structure. tRNAs have two regions of fundamental functional importance: the anti-codon, which is responsible for specific mRNA codon recognition, and the 3' end, to which the tRNAs corresponding amino acid is attached (by aminoacyl-tRNA synthetases). tRNAs cope with the degeneracy of the genetic code in two manners: having more than one tRNA (with a specific anti-codon) for a particular amino acid; and 'wobble' base-pairing, i.e. permitting non-standard base-pairing at the 3rd anti-codon position.
Source: RNAcentral